Molecule: RNA transcript, 1281 nt
Organism: Rhinolophus ferrumequinum (greater horseshoe bat)
Lineage: Eukaryota; Metazoa; Chordata; Mammalia; Chiroptera; Rhinolophidae
Gene: SNRNP27
Gene name: small nuclear ribonucleoprotein U4/U6.U5 subunit 27
Exons: 7
Source: RefSeq, a predicted model, not a curated record
CGGCGGUAAAAGCUCAGUCAGUUCCCGGCCGUCCCAGAAGUUGUUGCAGAGUCGCUUCCGGGGCGCUGUGAGGUGAAGGAGCACCCCGAAUGGGUCGCAGCCGCAGCCGCUCCCCACGGAGGGAGCGUAGGCGGUCCCGGUCCGCUUCCCGGGAGAGAGAACGCAGGCGCCGAGAAAGGUCCCCCCGGUCCCGCGAGAGAGAUCGGAGAAGGAGCCGCUCCCGAUCCCCUCACAGAAGACGCUCCAGAUCCCCAAGACGACACAGAUCCACAUCUCCUUCCCCUUCUCGACUGAAAGAAAGAAGAGAUGAGGAAAAGAAAGAAGCAAAAGAAACGAAGAGCAAAGAACGUCAGAUUACUGAGGAAGACUUAGAGGGCAAAACAGAGGAAGAAAUAGAAAUGAUGAAAUUAAUGGGAUUUGCUUCCUUUGACUCCACAAAAGGGAAAAAGGUGGAUGGCUCUGUAAAUGCUUAUGCCAUAAAUGUGUCUCAGAAGAGGAAGUACAGGCAGUACAUGAAUCGAAAAGGGGGAUUCAACAGACCUUUGGAUUUCAUUGCAUGAGAAUUGAAAAUGUUGAAGAAUGAUGUUCUUUUCCCUCAUCUUAGUGAGAAGAGUGGAUUUUGUAUUUUUGUGUUUCAAUGCAUCAAAAACAGGAUCACAGUCCUUCCUCCUUGUAAACCACGUGGCGCAUGCCUGAGCCAGGAGCCCACCGGUCACUUGCCGGGCUGCCAGCAUCGCUCUCCCUUCAGAGGGAUUCGCUGCGGGGCCCUCAGCCGCCUGGAUCCCGGGAGGCUUUGGAACCUCCGGAGCCGCGGCCACCAGACCCAGAUCUCCGGCCCUGAACCCAAGCGGGGCAGACUGCAUAGGCGAGGCGCGGUUUCAGCCUUACACUCGAGGGACGCCCGGCAGGUACCCGGAACUUUUCCCGGGGGACAGGUCUCGGCAACAGGUCCGAGGCGGGGAGGGGCCGGGUGGAGUCGAGCUCCGCGACGGCCGGUGAAUCAGCGCUGCCGGGCGCCCGGGUCGCCCUGCCAGCUGAAGCCAGAUCCCGGGAGGAGUAGCCUGGCUGCUGACCACCAGCCACUCAGAGAUCGCUGGGCCUGGAGAAGGGUGAUGUCAUCGUAGCUGGGAGGUUUCGGAAUGCUUCGCCAAUGGGAGACUGGCGAAGUGGCUUGCUUUCUGUAGCUCUUGGCCAAUACUAACAAAGCAAAAGGGGGCCCGGUUGUCGGUAUAGAACCAAUGGAAAACAGGGAAGGAGCACGAGGCGGAGUUGCGAAUUCUG